This 408-nucleotide ribosomal RNA is filed under the name uncultured bacterium. RNAcentral's name for it is "partial 16S ribosomal RNA". It matches the Rfam family "Bacterial small subunit ribosomal RNA", at positions 28 to 526 of the family's 1533-position model. The record is from RNAcentral.
GACGAACGCUGGCGGCGUGCUUAACACAUGCAAGUCGAACGAAGUGGCGAACGGGUGAGUAACGCGUAAUCAACCUGCCCUUCAGAGGGGGACAACAGUUGGAAACGACUGCUAAUACCGCAUACUGAAGGAGGGGUUUGCGUCGGCUUAGCUGGUUGGGGGGGUAACGGCCCACCAAGGCGAUGAUCAGUAGCCGGGCUGGGAGGAGGAACGGCCAAAUGGGGAACGGGAAACGGCCCAGACUCCUACGGGAGGGAGCAGGGGGGAAUCAUCCGCAAUGGAGGAAAGUCUGACGGAGCAACGCCGCGGGAGAGAUGACGGCCUUCGGGUUGUAAAGCUCUGUUAAUCGGGACGCGGUACCGGAAGAGAAAGCCACGGCUAACUACGUGCCAGCAGCCGCGGUAAUUC